GAGAGUGCGAGCUUAAGCGACCCCAAAAAUAACGCCUCAGUUCGGAUUGCAGCCUGCAACUCGGCUGCAUGAAGUUGGAAUCGCUAAUAAUCGCGGAUCAGAAUGCCGCGGUGAAUACGUUCCCGGGUCUUGUACACACCGCCCGUCACACCAUGGGAGUCGGGAAUGCCCGAAGUCGGUGACCUAACCGAAAGGGAGGAGCCGCCGAAGGCAGGCCUGGUAACUGGGGUGAAGUCGUAACAAGGUAAC
This 249-nucleotide ribosomal RNA is filed under the name uncultured bacterium. RNAcentral describes it as "partial 16S ribosomal RNA". It matches the Rfam family "Bacterial small subunit ribosomal RNA", at positions 1251 to 1500 of the family's 1533-position model. The record is from RNAcentral.